RNAcentral lists this ribosomal RNA (804 nucleotides) under Ramboldia stuartii. RNAcentral describes it as "eukaryotic LSU rRNA". Lineage: Eukaryota; Fungi; Ascomycota; Lecanoromycetes; Lecanorales; Ramboldiaceae. The record is from RNAcentral.
GUCAUUUAGAGGAAGUAAAAGUCGUAACAAGGUACCUUAACGGAAGCCUUGUCUUCGACGGUCUACCCUAGCGUAGGCGACACUCGUCUGUUGCUAGAAGUAAACCUUUCCCAAAAGUCAACCAGCUGCUACUUUCACGUAGCCCACAGAUCAAAUACGAGUGKCCUGAUUCUCACACCGAGACGGUUGAGAUAUGACCGUAGCAUCCUCUGUAAGGAGGCUGAGACCUAGUUCCGUAGGUGAACCUGCGGAAGGAUCAUUACCGAGAGAGGGGCUUCGUGCUCCCGGGGUUCAACCCCAACUCUUCACCCAUUGUCUAUCUACCUUUGUUGCUUUGGCGGGCCUUGGACUCCCACGUCUACGUCGAGCUUCACUGCCCGAGAAGGCGAGUGCCCGUCAGAGGCCCUUCAAACUCUGUAACCAAGUAUCGUCCGAGUUAAACCACAAUAGUAAAAACUUUCAACAACGGAUCUCUUGGUUCUGGCAUCGAUGAAGAACGCAGCGAAAUGCGAUAAGUAAUGUGAAUUGCAGAAUUCAGUGAAUCAUCSAAUCUUUGAACGCAUAUUGCGCCCCUUGGUAUUCCGAGGGGCAUGCCUGUUCGAGCGUCAUUGCACCCCUCAAGCGUAGCUUGGUAUUGGGUCUCCGUCCCCGAGACGUACCCGAAAAGCAGUGACGGUCCGGUGAGACUUUGAGCGCAGUAGAUUCUCGUUCUGAAAGGCUCACCGUGACCGCCUCAACCCCAACCACCAAUGAAUUGACCUCGGAUCAGGUAGGGAUACCCGCUGAACUUAAGCAUAUCAAUAA